AAACGACUCUCGGCAACGGAUAUCUCGGCUCUCGACAUCGAUGAAGAACGUAGCGAAAUGCGAUACUUGGUGUGAAUUGCAGAAUCCCGUGAACCAUCGAGUCUUUGAACGCAAGUUGCGCCCGAAGCCAUUCGGCCGAGGGCACGUCUGCCUGGGCGUCACA
Molecule: ribosomal RNA, 163 nt
Filed under: Myodocarpus simplicifolius
Lineage: Eukaryota; Viridiplantae; Streptophyta; Magnoliopsida; Apiales; Myodocarpaceae
Description: 5.8S ribosomal RNA
Rfam family: 5.8S ribosomal RNA
About the family: 5.8S ribosomal RNA (5.8S rRNA) is a component of the large subunit of the eukaryotic ribosome.
Source: RNAcentral